Molecule: ribosomal RNA, 253 nt
Filed under: uncultured bacterium
Lineage: Bacteria
Description: partial 16S ribosomal RNA
Rfam family: Bacterial small subunit ribosomal RNA
Source: RNAcentral
UACGUAGGGGGCUAGCGUUGUCCGGAAUCAUUGGGCGUAAAGAGCGUGUAGGCGGUCCGGUAAGUCCGCUGUGAAAGUCGGGGGCUCAACCCUCGAAUGCCGGUGGAUACUGUCGGGCUAGAGUGCGGAAGAGGCGAGUGGAAUUCCUGGUGUAACGGUGAAAUGCGCAGAUAUCAGGAGGAACACCUAUUGCGAAGGCAGCUCGCUGGGACGUAACUGACGCUGAGGAGCGAAAGCGUGGGGAGCGAACAGG